GUUAAGGUGGCAGAGCUCGGAUACUGCAAAAGAUCUAAGCUCUUUCUACAGAGGUUCAAAUCCUCUCCUCAACU
This 74-nucleotide transfer RNA is filed under the name Ditrema temminckii (Temminck's surfperch). RNAcentral describes it as "tRNA-Leu (UUR)". It matches the Rfam family "tRNA". Rfam says of the family: Transfer RNA (tRNA) molecules are approximately 80 nucleotides in length. Their secondary structure includes four short double-helical elements and three loops (D, anti-codon, and T loops). Lineage: Eukaryota; Metazoa; Chordata; Actinopteri; Embiotocidae. The record is from RNAcentral.